This 890-nucleotide ribosomal RNA is filed under the name uncultured bacterium. RNAcentral's name for it is "bacterial SSU rRNA". It matches the Rfam family "Bacterial small subunit ribosomal RNA", at positions 601 to 1502 of the family's 1533-position model. The record is from RNAcentral.
CCCAGAGCUUAACUCUGGAACUGCCAUCAAAACUUUUCAGCUAGAGUAUGAUAGAGGAAAGCAGAAUUUCUAGUGUAGAGGUGAAAUUCGUAGAUAUUAGAAAGAAUACCAAUUGCGAAGGCAGCUUUCUGGAUCAUUACUGACACUGAGGAACGAAAGCAUGGGUAGCGAAGAGGAUUAGAUACCCUCGUAGUCCAUGCCGUAAACGAUGUGUGUUAGACGUUGGAAAUUUAUUUUCAGUGUCGCAGCGAAAGCGAUAAACACACCGCCUGGGGAGUACGACCGCAAGGUUAAAACUCAAAUGAAUUGACGGGGACCCGCACAAGUAGUGGAGCAUGUGGUUUAAUUCGAAGAUACGCGCAGAACCUUACCAACACUUGACAUGUUCGUCGCGACUCUAAGAGAUUAGAGUUUUCGGUUCGGCCGGACGAAACACAGGUGCUGCAUGGCUGUCGUCAGCUCGUGUCGUGAGAUGUUGGGUUAAGUCCCGCAACGAGCGCAACCCUCACUUUUAGUUGCCAUCAUUUAGUUGGGCACUCUGAAAGAACUGCCAGUGAUAAGCUGGAGGAAGGUGGGGAUGACGUCAAGUCCUCAUGGCCCUUACGUGUUGGGCUACACACGUGCUACAAUGGCAUCUACAACAGGAAGCAAAACGGCAACGUUAAGCAAAUCCCGAAAAGAUGCCUCAGUUCGGAUUGCACUCUGCAACUCGAGUGCAUGAAGCUGGAAUUACUAGUAAUCGUGGAUCAGCGUGCCACGGUGAAUGCGUUCCCGGGUCUUGUACACACCGCCCGUCACACCAUGGGAGUUGGUUCUACCUUAAGGCAAGGUUUUAAACCCUUGACCACGGUAUAGUCAGCGACUGGGGUGAAGUCGUAACAAGGUAACCA